CUUUUUGCUUCAAGUUUGAGUUUGCUUCUUAGAGCUAUAGACUACCCACCAUCUUGUAAACUGCACAAAACUAAACACAGCUUUAGCCAUCACUUGGCAGCCAUUAUGACGUCACUUGGAAAAUAAAAUUCACGUGAGCUUACCGUUGGCGUCGCGACUGCAAAAAGACAGCACACUACACCUCUGUACUUUAUUACAUUCCACUCGUCUUUCUUCCAUUCCUUCUAUGGCUUCUCUUCUAAUUCAACCAAUCAACUUCACUAAAAUGAAAAAGCACACAGUGAUACUAGGUCAUCUUGCUCCAGUGUUUUGUCUCUCAUUUGAUUCAACUGGUCAAAGGAUCAUUACUGUUAGUCCUCCAUUACUGGUAUAUCAUUGAUAAACCAGUUAAAUUUAUGGAGAAGAACAGGGUCUGUGAUCAAACUCUCUGCUAAGCUUUUAGUCCUGGGGGUAAAUUCUAUGUUACAGGGGGUACUGAUAAGAUAGUACGUGUGUAUGAGAUGAGUGAUCCUCCAUUACUAGUGAAUGAACUAACUGGACAUGCCCCCUACUUCCCUUAAAAGAGUAAAGGUCACAUUAAUCACAGUGUUACUUCAUUACCUGAUAAUAACUGGUGAUCUACUGCCUCCUCUAUACACUGCAGUCAUGAGUCCAUACCUCAUCAAAGAAGUAUCAGACAGAGCCCGUGAUAAUUAUUAAUAAUAAUAUUAUAUUGUCUUUUUUUCUGAGUAACAGCAUGUUAUUAGUCUACUACUUUAUUUAAUCUUUUAUUUUGCAAUUUUAA
Molecule: long non-coding RNA, 784 nt
Organism: Amphimedon queenslandica
Lineage: Eukaryota; Metazoa; Porifera; Demospongiae; Haplosclerida; Niphatidae
Exons: 6
Source: RefSeq, a predicted model, not a curated record